Non-coding RNA from Cinara cedri, 237 nucleotides. NCBI's taxonomy places the organism in Eukaryota, Metazoa, Arthropoda, Insecta, Hemiptera, Aphididae. The record is from the annotation of a GenBank genome assembly.
UGUAGUAACUCACAGCAGACACAACGACGCAUAAACACACAACCACUGUAGCAAAAUUACUAGUUUACCAAUUUACGAAAUCGAAAGACCUGUUAAGUUUAUCGCAACCCGCACGCCGUGCACGUUAAAUACGAUAAAAAUGACAGAUAACAAGAACCUAUUAAUAAUCAACGAACUAUAUAAGAUAAAACUACAUUCAAACAUUCGAUAUCGUAUCGUUAAUGGUACACUUACUGU